RNAcentral lists this ribosomal RNA (501 nucleotides) under uncultured bacterium. Its description in RNAcentral is "partial 16S ribosomal RNA". It matches the Rfam family "Bacterial small subunit ribosomal RNA", at positions 30 to 523 of the family's 1533-position model. The record is from RNAcentral.
AUUGAACGCUGGCGGCAGGCUUAACACAUGCAAGUCGAGCGGAGAUGAGGUGCUUGCACCUUAUCUUAGCGGCGGACGGGUGAGUAAUGCUUAGGAAUCUGCCUAUUAGUGGGGGACAACAUUCCGAAAGGAAUGCUAAUACCGCAUACGUCCUACGGGAGAAAGCAGGGGAUCUUCGGACCUUGCGCUAAUAGAUGAGCCUAAGUCGGAUUAGCUAGUUGGUGGGGUAAAGGCCUACCAAGGCGACGAUCUGUAGCGGGUCUGAGAGGAUGAUCCGCCACACUGGGACUGAGACACGGCCCAGACUCCUACGGGAGGCAGCAGUGGGGAAUAUUGGACAAUGGGGGGAACCCUGAUCCAGCCAUGCCGCGUGUGUGAAGAAGGCCUUAUGGUUGUAAAGCACUUUAAGCGAGGAGGAGGCUACUGAGACUAAUACUCUUGGACAGUGGACGUUACUCGCAGGAUAAGCACCGGCUAACUCUGUGCCAGCAGCCGCGGUAA